Molecule: ribosomal RNA, 447 nt
Filed under: uncultured bacterium
Lineage: Bacteria
Description: partial 16S ribosomal RNA
Rfam family: Bacterial small subunit ribosomal RNA
Source: RNAcentral
AGCGAACGCUGGCGGCAGGCUUAACACAUGCAAGUCGAACGGUCCUUCGGGAUAGUGGCGGACGGGUGAGUAACACGUGGGAACGUACCCUUAGGUUCGGAACAACACAGGGAAACUUGUGCUAAUACCGGAUAAGCCCUUCGGGGGAAAGAUUUAUCGCCUUUGGAGCGGCCCGCGUCUGAUUAGCUUGUUGGUGAGGUAAUGGCUCACCAAGGCUACGAUCAGUAGCUGGUCUGAGAGGAUGGCCAGCUACACUGGGACUGAGACACGGCCCAGACUCCCACGGGAGGCAGCAGUGGGGAAUCUUGCGCAAUGGGCGAAAGCCUGACGCAGCCAUGCCGCGUGGAUGAUGAAGGUCUUAGGAUUGUAAAAUCCUUUCACCGGGGACGAUAAUGACGGUACCCGGAGAAGAAGCCCCGGCUAACUUCGUGCCAGCCGCCGCAGUAA